Molecule: ribosomal RNA, 441 nt
Filed under: uncultured bacterium
Lineage: Bacteria
Description: partial 16S ribosomal RNA
Rfam family: Bacterial small subunit ribosomal RNA
Source: RNAcentral
CCUACGGGUGGCAGCAGUGGGGAAUAUUGCACAAUGGGGGAAACCCUGAUGCAGCAACGCCGCGUGAGUGAGGAAGUAUUUCGGUAUGUAAAGCUCUAUUAGCAGGGACGAAAAAAGAAGGUGUCUCAAACAGAAACCCCACCGAACUACGUGCCAGCAGCCGCGGUAAUACGUAGGGGGCAAGCGGUAUCCGGAUUUACUGGGUGUAAAGGGUGCGUAGACGGGACGGCAAGUCAGAGGUGAAAACCCAAGGCGCAACCAUUGGACUGCCUUUGAAACUGUCAAACUAGAGUACGGGAGAGGUAGGCGGAAUUCCUAGUGUAGCGGUGAAAUGCGUAGAUAUUAGGAGGAACACCAGUGGCGAAGGCGUCUUACUGGACCGAAACUGACGCUGAGGCGCGAAAGCGUGGGGAGCAAACAGGAUUAGAUACCCGUGUAGUC